RNAcentral lists this transfer RNA (74 nucleotides) under Trichomalopsis sarcophagae. RNAcentral's name for it is "tRNA-OTHER". It matches the Rfam family "tRNA". Rfam says of the family: Transfer RNA (tRNA) molecules are approximately 80 nucleotides in length. Their secondary structure includes four short double-helical elements and three loops (D, anti-codon, and T loops). The record is from RNAcentral. Lineage: Eukaryota; Metazoa; Arthropoda; Insecta; Hymenoptera; Pteromalidae.
GUAGACGUUAGCUCAGUGGUUAUAGCACAGGCCUCUGGCUCUCGGGUCCGCGAGUUCGAGUCCCGUCGUCUACU